UUCAUCCGUUCCAGUGUUAAAAAACAAAACAAAAAAACAACAACAGAAUCUAAAAUAAAAGUGAAAACUGAAUACUGCUGCCUACCUCUCCAGUCUUGACGUUUGGGUGUGUGUAAGAGGGGGGUGUGUGAGAAGGGGAUCUGGCUGGUGUUGUAGCUGCGCCGUCGGAGCAGGUUAUAGAACCUCUUUCUCUGCUUUGGUGGUGGAGUGGGGAGGCUGGGCUGGGACUGGGGAGCAAACCCAGAGCUGUAGCCUGGUCCUGGGAGGGAGGGAGGGCCGUAUCCCAGUCUUGGGGAAGGAUAUCCAGAGUUGAGGUAAGUGUUGCUGUGUCCUUGGGCAGUGUUUUGGCAUCCUGGGUUAGGGCUGCUGCUGGGGUUGGUGUUGUAGGCUGGGUUACAGUGUCCUGGGUUAAGGUUGCUGCUGGGGUUGGUUUUGUAGGCUGGGUUAUAGUGUCCUGGGUUAGGGCUGCUGCUGGGGUUGGUGUUGUAGGCUGGGUUACAGUGUCUUGGGUUAGAGUUGGGGUACCCAGCAGAUCCACGAUUAGGGUAGCCUUGGAGUCCAGAGUUUGGAUAUCCUGGGGGUCCAGGGUUUGGGUAUCCUGAAGGUCCGGUGUGACUGUAGCUGGCUGCUCCUGGAGGAGAAAGAGGUGGUGGGGGGAAGCUGUACCCAGGAUGAUGGUCGGGUGUGGGGGGAGAGUAGCUGGUCUUCCGUAGCUGGGUCAGGCAGUGGCCGUGCGUGUGCUGCUGGGAGCCCCUGGAGGAGUAGCCUGCUCGAUGGUGGCGCACCAGGCCGGGGGGGCUGGGGCCAGGGUAGGGGAAGUCCUGUCUGUGUAGUGGCCCCUGGAUGCCAUUGUUGUCCGGUUGUCCCCGGGCGAGUGGCCUGGACGCCCACGGUCCGUCUCGUUGCUGGUGGAUCUUGGAGGUGAGCAGCCGACGUCUCAGACUGCCCUCGCUCUUGGGCUGCAGGUAGAGCAUCUUUUGAACAUCUUUCGAGCAGGCCGGAAGCAGCUCGUCCUCAUCCUCGCUGAAGCCCCCCUUCCAGCAUUGAGCCCCCACGCCUCCUCCUACCACCGGCUCGGUGGACAGACAGUCCACGUAUGCUAUCAUCUUCUCAGAGUCUCUCCCUGUCUCACCUGUGUGAUUAAUUGUUCUAACAGUCCGUGUAAUCCAUCAUCCACUCUUUCCAAACAGUAUGUUCCCAUCAAGUCUGGUCUGAAGAGGCUGGACUCUCCGAGUCUUCCCUACAACAGUAGAUUCUCAAUGAGCUGUAUGUUAGUGCCCAUCCACGGUGGAAUGACCAUAGAGAAACACUGGUAGAGAGAGAGUACAGAUCUAUCUCACGUAGUGGACUCUUACAGAAACCGAUCUCUGAGACUGUAUGGUGCGGUCCUUCCUUGUCUCUCUCGCGUCACCUCUCCUCUUUCUCUCUCUCU
Molecule: long non-coding RNA, 1432 nt
Organism: Oncorhynchus tshawytscha (Chinook salmon)
Lineage: Eukaryota; Metazoa; Chordata; Actinopteri; Salmoniformes; Salmonidae
Source: Ensembl